RNAcentral lists this ribosomal RNA (497 nucleotides) under uncultured bacterium. RNAcentral describes it as "partial 16S ribosomal RNA". It matches the Rfam family "Bacterial small subunit ribosomal RNA", at positions 28 to 507 of the family's 1533-position model. The record is from RNAcentral.
GAUGAACGCUGGCGGCGUGCCUAAUACAUGCAAGUCGAGCGAACAGACGAGGAGCUUGCUCCUCUGACGUUAGCGGCGGACGGGUGAGUAACACGUGGAUAACCUACCUAUAAGACUGGGAUAACUUCGGGAAACCGGAGCUAAUACCGGAUAAUAUAUUGAACCGCAUGGUUCAAUAGUGAAAGACGGUUUUGCUGUCACUUAUAGAUGGAUCCGCGCCGCAUUAGCUAGUUGGUAAGGUAACGGCUUACCAAGGCAACGAUGCGUAGCCGACCUGAGAGGGUGAUCGGCCACACUGGAACUGAGGCACGGUCCAGACUCCUACGGGAGGCAGCAGUAGGGAAUCUUACGCAAUGGGCGAAAGCCUGACGGAGCAACGCCGCGUGAGUGAUGAAGGUCUUCGGAUCGUAAAACUCUGUUAUUAGGGAAGAACAAAUGUGUAAGUAACUAUGCACGUCUUGACGGUACCUAAUCAGAAAGCCACGGCUAACUACGUG